RNAcentral lists this ribosomal RNA (208 nucleotides) under uncultured bacterium. RNAcentral describes it as "partial 16S ribosomal RNA". It matches the Rfam family "Bacterial small subunit ribosomal RNA", at positions 1293 to 1500 of the family's 1533-position model. The record is from RNAcentral.
UCGGAUUGUAGGCUGCAACUCGCCUACAUGAAGUCGGAAUUGCUAGUAAUCGCGGAUCAGCAUGCCGCGGUGAAUACGUUCCCGGGCCUUGUACACACCGCCCGUCACACCAUGGGAGUCGGUAACACCCGAAGCCUGUAGUCUAACCGCAAGGAGGACGCAGUCGAAGGUGGGAUUGAUGACUGGGGUGAAGUCGUAACAAGGUAGC